This 164-nucleotide non-coding RNA is filed under the name chicken gut metagenome. The record is from RNAcentral.
GGGUGCCCGGCCAGCCGCCGGGAGAAUAGACAAACAGGUGAAAUUCCUGUGCGGGACCGCCGCCGUAACGGCACCAGCCCCGGCCCAUCGACGCCACUGCCCUUUCGGGGCGGGAAGGCGGGCCGGCAGGCGAUGACGCCGAAGCCGGAAGACCUGCCCUGUGC